CAAAACUUCACAUUAUCAUAAAAGAUGAAGAUUAUGUCCAAAGAUUUAGCCUUUUUCAUUCAAUGACAAUCCAAUGAAUUCAACUUCAAUUUCAAGGUUACCAAGACAAUCACUAUAAAGCACAAACAACAACAUUAAUCACGACACUUCCUCAAGAUUAGAAUCAUCAAUUUAUUUUUCUGCCUUACACUUCAAUCAAAUAAUCUAGAAUAACUUCUCACAAUAAAACAAGACUAGCUAAAAUAGG
RNAcentral lists this unclassified non-coding RNA (247 nucleotides) under Hevea brasiliensis (rubber tree). The record is from RNAcentral. Lineage: Eukaryota; Viridiplantae; Streptophyta; Magnoliopsida; Malpighiales; Euphorbiaceae.